GCGCGGGGCCGCCGGCCGCCGCCGGAGGUAAACAGUGCAGCGGGGGGGCGGAGCGGCCGCGGUGCCGUGUCAUUUCCUGCAGCUCGGCCUCCUCGUGCCGGCCGAUGAGCACGCGGCGCCACCUGGUGGCGAGAUCCGGCCGCUGCGGGUCGCGGUCCCGGCGGGAAGCGGCGCAGCGGGCAGCACGAGCAGGUGACACGGCCCAGGGGAGCGGGAAGGACCUCGGCUCACUUCCAGUUUGCACAGGAUGGUUACUAACUGAAGCAUGAGAACGAUGGCAGAAUGAUUGUCCUGUAUAUCUCAAAAACAGAGGUGCAAAAUGUGUCUCCACCCUGUUUGCCUUGGUCCGUUGUAGAAGUGCACAAGAGAUGCCACUGUGAGGAUCCAUGCACCCUGCAGAGCAGGCAAGAAAACAAGCAUUUCCUGUCUGCUUGUGCUCCUUGGGAUGUUCCUAGGCGUGUUUUCUAUGACAGUAUAGCACACAGGGAAAUCUGUGUAGAAGAGAAUUCACAUUAUUCUGCUGAAUUCCACAGCAUUUGGACACGCCAUCUCUGUUAUUUUCCAGGGUUGUUUUGUAGUGUUUUUAUUUCAGUGAUGUAA
RNAcentral lists this long non-coding RNA (600 nucleotides) under Meleagris gallopavo (turkey). RNAcentral's name for it is "lncRNA (ENSMGAG00000021322.1)". The record is from RNAcentral. Lineage: Eukaryota; Metazoa; Chordata; Aves; Galliformes; Phasianidae.